This 715-nucleotide ribosomal RNA is filed under the name uncultured bacterium. RNAcentral describes it as "bacterial SSU rRNA". It matches the Rfam family "Bacterial small subunit ribosomal RNA", at positions 94 to 820 of the family's 1533-position model. The record is from RNAcentral.
AGCGGCGAAAGGGAGAGGAAUACGUAGAAAUCUACCCUCGAGACCGGGAUGGCGUCGGGAAACUGGCAGUAAUACCGGAUAAUGUCUUCGGACCAAAGGUGUGAUUCCACUCGGGGAUGAGUCUACGCCCUAUUAGCUAGUUGGUGGGGUAAUGGCCUACCAAGGCGAUGAUGGGUAGCAGGUGUGAGAGCAUGACCCGCCUCACUGGGACUGAGAACUGCCCAGACACCUACGGGUGGCUGCAGUCGAGAAUCUUUGUCAAUGGACGAAAGUCUGAACAAGCGACGCCGCGUGCGGGAUGAAGGCCUUCGGGUUGUAAACCGCUGUCGUAGGGGAACAAGUGUAGAGGGGUUCUCCCCUUUAUUUGAGUGAUCCUAGGAGGAAGGACGGGCUAAGUUCGUGCCAGCAGCCGCGGUAAGACGAACCGUCCGAACGUUAUUCGGUAUCACUGGGCUUAAAGAGUUCGUAGGCGGCUCAGCAGGUCAGGUGUGAAAUCCCACAGCUCAACUGUGGAACUGCGCUUGAAACCGCUGGGCUUGAGGGAGGUAGAGGUAAGCGGAACAGAUGGUGGAGCGGUGAAAUGCGUUGAUAUCAUCUGGAACACCGGUGGCGAAAGCGGCUUACUGGGUCUUUUCUGACGCUGAGGAACGAAAGCUAGGGUAGCAAACGGGAUUAGAUACCCCGGUAGUCCUAGCCGUAAACGAUGAGCACUAGU